CUCAGGAAGUCUACAUCCGCAUCAGAGAGGGGGUGGCUACUCACUGUGCCCGAAUUCACAUAUUUCUUUUUCUUCAUUUUCUUUUUUGGGUUUACCACCUGCCGAGAAAAACAAAACAAAACCAAACCCAGUUACCAGAUCUUCCUGUGAAGUGGGCAGUGAGAAAACAUCCUGUUUGUUCUGGGGUUUCCAGCACCACUGGGCAUGCACAGCCCCUCCCUGCCUCCCCGUGUACCAGCCUCUCCAGCCCUAAGCGGCUGCACCCAAACGGCAUGAAGGGGACCAGCACCCUCUAGGGGCCAGCAACCUCCCCACUCCUGGGCUGGAGCUCGAAGCCUUCUCCUCUCCCUCUCCUCACAUCCCCAGCGUCUCCAGGGUCCCCAGGGCUGGUAUGGGGUCUACCCUCCUGUGCAAAGGGGGCACUGAGUGGCUCCCAGGACCAGGAGCUAUGCAGGCUCUGGAUACAAAGGUAGAUGUCAGGCCUUUGGAGUCUUCCUUCGACCUCCAGACUCAAAGCAGAACUGCCUCAGCCUGCAGGCAAAUCUCUCCGAGAGCUGUUCUCCAAUCCCACCACACUCGCCCAUGUCUUGACCAUUUGUCAGCAGAGCGCUGGAGUUUAAGAACACAGAUUCUUGGGGAGGGAGGUGAGAGGGGGGUUCAGGAUGGGGAACACAUG
Molecule: long non-coding RNA, 676 nt
Organism: Cervus elaphus (red deer)
Lineage: Eukaryota; Metazoa; Chordata; Mammalia; Artiodactyla; Cervidae
Exons: 3
Source: RefSeq, a predicted model, not a curated record